UGUAACACAAAAAAAUUAAUUCUAUUUAUUGCAUUUUUGGGAUACCCUUUGAGUAUUUUCAUAUUGUGACCGACCCAGCGCCAUCUUGUCACAUUUGCGACGUACAUCUGAUGAUCCAGAACAUGACGAGGACGAACAGGAAAAACAAUUAGGAAUAUAAUAUUCGGCGGACAAGAUAAAAGGAGGCCAAACGAGCUUACAUGGAUUGUGGAGCCAUAGGAGGAGAUACCAGAGCUUCAUCCAUCGUGGAUGUUUAUCCAGAGAACUGAAUCAUGUAAGUAUUAUGUAAAAAGUAUAAAGUAAAAUUUUAAAUGUAUAUAUAUUUUUCAUCACUUGGUUUGUCAUUGCAGGUGCCUAGAGAAAUGCAUGGAGUCCUUGCUCCCCACUAUGAUGAAUUCAUUGAGGAAGUCAGAAUGUGAUGGGAGGAUUGCUGCGCCAGGGUCAUUUUACAGAGUAUGAAAGAAGGCAAUAAAGCCACCAAUCAACAGGGAUAAAAUGGAAGCCAACUUUGCUCUGGUGAAGGCCCUUCCCAUUCUCUUUCCCCCAGUGGCACCUCCAUCAAAGAAACUGGGGUGUGCUAGUGAAGCUUUACUGCAUGUUCAGGAGAAGAUCCAAACGUCUUCAUCCAGAAGAGAGGCCUGUCAAGUCCAGUCUUGGUGUUCGAUGGCAGCAGAUGAAUCGUUGCUAUUGGUUUGAUGCCAGUGACGUUUGAAAAAGAAAAGCUUCACGAGGGUCUGAUUUUUCUAAAUGGCAUAUUAUUACACACUACAUCUGACAUACACAAAUUGCGUGGCCACCCUUCUGUCAUUCAGACAGAGAUCCUUCAGGAUACAAGUGGGACAUCACCACCACAUGAAAGAGCAUUAAAGUAAAGAAUUUGUUGGAAGAUAAACUGCUUUUGCAGGUCAAUGUUUAUGUCUGUUCUUUAGAUGAGUAUUCUAAUUGUGUUGUUAAAGAAAUAGUUGUAUUCCUAGUGCCUUUGGGUAAAUUUGUAUCACAAAUCUCAGUUUGUAAGUUGAAUAAAAGAAUCGAAAAGUGAA
Oryzias latipes (Japanese medaka) is the source of this 1040-nucleotide long non-coding RNA. RefSeq lists it as uncharacterized. The record is from RefSeq and is a predicted model, not a curated record. Lineage: Eukaryota; Metazoa; Chordata; Actinopteri; Beloniformes; Adrianichthyidae.